GCUGGGCACAGUGGUGCGUGCCUAUAGUCCUAGCUACUUGGGAGGCUGAGGUGGGAGGAUCGCUGGAGCCCAGGAGUUCUGGACUGUAGUGCGCCAUGCCGAUUGGGUGUCUGCACUAAGUUUGGCAUCAAUAUGGUGACCUCCCAGGAGCGAGGGACCUUCGGCUUGCCUAAGGAGGGGUGAACCGGCCCAGGUCGGAAACAGAGCAGGUCAGUACUCCCGUGUUGAUCAGUAUGGGAUUGUGCCUGUGAAUAGCCACUGCACUCCAGCCUGGACAACAUAGUGAGACCCCAUCUCU
This is an unclassified non-coding RNA of Aotus nancymaae (Ma's night monkey), 298 nucleotides long. It matches the Rfam family "Metazoan signal recognition particle RNA". From Rfam's summary of the family: The signal recognition particle (SRP) is a universally conserved ribonucleoprotein. It is involved in the co-translational targeting of proteins to membranes. The eukaryotic SRP consists of a 300-nucleotide 7S RNA and six proteins: SRPs 72, 68, 54, 19, 14, and 9. The record is from Ensembl. Lineage: Eukaryota; Metazoa; Chordata; Mammalia; Primates; Aotidae.